UCCCAGACUCCUACGGGAGGCAGCAGUGGGGAAUAUUGGGCAAUGGGCGCAAGCCUGACCCAGCAACGCCGCGUGAAGGAAGAAGGCUUUCGGGUUGUAAACUUCUUUUCUCAGGGACGAAGAAAGUGACGGUACCUGAGGAAUAAGCCACGGCUAACUACGUGCCAGCAGCCGCGGUAAUACGGAGGAUGCGAGCGUUAUCCGGAUUUAUUGGGUUUAAAGGGUGCGCAGGCGGCACGGCAAGCCGGCGGUCAAAUCGCGGGGCUCAACCCCGCCCAGCCGUCGGAACUGCCGGGCUAGAGUGGGCGAGAAGUGCGCGGAAUGCGUGGUGUAGCGGUGAAAUGCUUAGAUAUCACGAAGAACUCCGAUUGCGAAGGCAGCCUACUAAACUGCCACUGACAUUGAUGCUCGAAAGUGUGGGUAUCAAACAGGAUUAGAUACCCCAGUAC
RNAcentral lists this ribosomal RNA (449 nucleotides) under uncultured bacterium. Its description in RNAcentral is "partial 16S ribosomal RNA". It matches the Rfam family "Bacterial small subunit ribosomal RNA", at positions 329 to 793 of the family's 1533-position model. The record is from RNAcentral.